This 127-nucleotide ribosomal RNA is filed under the name Photobacterium lutimaris. RNAcentral's name for it is "partial 16S ribosomal RNA". It matches the Rfam family "Bacterial small subunit ribosomal RNA", at positions 1 to 108 of the family's 1533-position model. The record is from RNAcentral. Lineage: Bacteria; Pseudomonadati; Pseudomonadota; Gammaproteobacteria; Vibrionales; Vibrionaceae.
UUUAAUUGAAGAGUUUGAUCAUGGCUCAGAUUGAACGCUGGCGGCAGGCCUAACACAUGCAAGUCGAGCGGCAGCGACAACAUUGACCCUUCGGGUGAUUUGUUGGGCGGCGAGCGGCGGACGGGUG